ACAUAUCGACAAUGCAUGCAGUUAUUUUAUUAAUUAUUCACAAAGACCAUACAAGAUAAUACACUAGUCAGCCUCAAGACGCCAUCUAGUCAACACCUAUUGCUACUCCUAUCCCUUUAAUGAAGGUGUGCCGAAUAUACGAGCCUAAUACAAAACAAACAUCGCACCAAACCAUAACAUCUAUAGCCGGAUGCCCCAGCCCAACCACAUACCGAGACUGGGUCCCACACUGAUCCGAUGCACUAUCGUUGUCGCCGCCACCUUCCACCGGUCCAUCUCCAUAGCAGGAACUGAC
This 295-nucleotide long non-coding RNA is filed under the name Hordeum vulgare. RNAcentral describes it as "long non-coding RNA (HVUL_LNC004322)". Lineage: Eukaryota; Viridiplantae; Streptophyta; Magnoliopsida; Poales; Poaceae. The record is from RNAcentral.